GGGUUUUAGUUUUAUUAUAUAUUUUUUUCAUAUAUUUCUCAAUUAAUUUUGAAUUGAUAAUAAAUCGAUUUUCAAGUUCUUUUUUUAUAUUAGUUCGUACGAAAGAAUGACACAUGGCAUUCACCUUUCUCGCUGCCAUUGUAUGAUAUACAAUGGAUACCUAAUUUUAAAAUCAUUUAUGCUUUGAUUACCGUUGAGAACAUGCGAUCUGACG
RNAcentral lists this long non-coding RNA (214 nucleotides) under Mytilus galloprovincialis (Mediterranean mussel). Lineage: Eukaryota; Metazoa; Mollusca; Bivalvia; Mytilida; Mytilidae. The record is from RNAcentral.